GCCUAUGUAAAACACCAUUUUCUGAAUUUGAAUGUUCAGGAAUUCAUUCCAAUUUUAACUUGAUUUCUAGAAUAUUUGUAUUUGUCUAAAACCUUAUAUUGAUUAUCACACACGUUAAGUAGAUAUCGCAAUGUUGGGUGUCCGCAAUGUUAAUUAGAUUACUCUGAUUAUAUCCUUUGUUUAUUUUCAAAUCUUGUCCCAGACAAUACACAGACAUAGUUGGGUUAUUACAAUGUCUACACUUAUUAGAGGUUGAUUAUAUUGACCCAUUAAACUUGAUACAUCAAAGACAAUUCUCGGAAUAUGUGAAAACUAAAACAAUAGUCUGAUAUUUUGGUUUUAGAAAAUGUCGGAAUGGGCGUGGAAAAAGCUGAGUUAAUCUUUUUAUUUAAUUCUAUUGGUUUAUUAAUCGAACUUGCAAAUUUAUUGCUUACCUGUAAAAGAACCUAUCAAAAUAAAUUACUCUAUAAAAAAAAGUUAGAAAUAUUUAUAACAGGAUUUGGCGAUUUCACCGUGGAAUCGAGCUGAAAAGUCAAUCGUGUUCUUAAGGGUUGUGGUGUAUCGAUUAAUUAGGCCCCUACCUAGUCGUGCGGCAUUGUUAGAACCAACCACAACAGAGAUAUUUUUUCAACAACCACAACAGAGAUAUUUUUUCAACAACCACAACAGAGAUAUUUGUUCAACAAAGUAUGCAGAGAAAACAAGAAUAUGAGGUUAUAUUUUUUAAUCAAAUGUUGCCUAUUUGUAAUGCAAAUUUAGAAUUAAUAUUUUUCGUUUCUGUUAAAACCCUAAACAACUAUACACUAAUUUUUUAUUUGCCGAAGGGCGUAUGGUUUUGGCGGGCAAACUGGAGAUCAAACAAUAAAUUUCGAGGUAUUUGAGGUAGUCUAAUUCAAUAUUCUAUCAUAUCCUAAUGUACAUAAUUGAUUUUCUAUUUGAUUAAUUAUUCAAAUAAUCAUUAUUGGGAUGCACUAUCGACUCUAGCCAGUCCUGAAUUGCAAUGAUUAUUGUUUGCGCCCUGUUGUUUACUAGACGCCAUUUUGAAAAACAGACUUGCCCUGCAUACAACUGAUUGUUAUCCAUUUUUCAGAUUGCAGUAUAUUUUUUACAAUAUAAUGCAGCGAUAGUGGCAUUAGUGCAGUCUAAUUGCUUUAAAAGGAAAUCUGAAUUCGGACAAAGAUCAACAAUAAAAUCAAGUUUCAAUAUUAGAUGACAUAGCAAAUCACCCAGGAAAAGAUCAUACAUGUGUAUAAUAAAACAAGUAAAAAAACACAAAAAAAUGGAAGAAGAAAGAGCUGAAAUGAUAAUUAGAGCGCCACAUAUGAUUUCUGCUUGGUGUUUUGGAGGGAGAGCGAGAGAAAUGGGGUUUAACGUCCACUCGACACAAACUAGGUCAUUUCGGGACUAACAUAUGGUUUAAUUUUAUUUACAUAAUUCGCUUGCGCGUAGGGGUCUUUAGCAGUGGGAGGAAACCGGAGGACCCGGAGAAAACCCACGAGGUUGGACAGGCGACCCUACUCCUUGCCACGUACAACCGGGGAUUCGAAACCACGCCAGUCGACUCAAUGACAGACUGUAUGAUACAGCGCGCGCACGCUAACCAUUCAGCCAUCCAACCCCCCUGUUUUGGAGGGGUAAGUGUUCAAUUCUAAUAGAAAAGAUUGUCAUUAUGGUAUUUUAGAAUCUCAUCAUUGGCAUAAUAUAUCCCGGUUGAGCUGAUGUGACAUAAAACUCAAUUCCAUUUCAGAUUAGUAUAGUAAAACUCUACACGUACAUGCACAUGUAUGUGCACGAUGAUGGUGGGUUUGCUCUCGAUCUUGGCCGAGAAACUUCACUGGAAUUUUCCGACAUGGUAUCUACCAGUCAGUGGUGCAGUUGUUUGAAUUCAACAUAAAACUAAAGUUCCAUGUACACAUUGCUGUGCACGUAAUAGACCACCUGGCAGUUGGAAUUCGAUAUAAGAGUAGGCCUUAGCGCCACGAUACCGGGCAAAAUUUCCCUUAAAGCACACUGUAUGACAUAUACCCAUCUUCAUUAGCCAAUUCGGAGCAGAGAUGCAGGACGUUAAACCCCCAUUUCAUUUCAUUUCAUUUUUUCAUCUCAUCUUUGACAAAGCAAACCAACACAUCACACAUAGGCCUACAAUGUAAUUAAAUUAACACUUUCAUUUUUUUAACUGUCUAGUCAAUUUAAGUCAACUUAUACAUGGCAUUUUGUUUUCAGUUAACCACAUUGGAAAGAUCCAGACAGUUGGAAAUAGAUAUUCUUGUGGAAUAUUUUUUCUCGCAGAUCUUGAUAAUCAGGCAAAAUAAUCUUGGAAGAGUAUAUGAUGUAUGAUAACAACGAGAGAACCCAACCACAACUUUUGAAUAUUACACCACCAAUUUAAUUCUGGAAAAGAAUACAUUUGACCCAUUUUUUAUUUUUUUUUUUAGUUUAAUGUUAAAUAUAUCCGAACACAAUUAUAUUUUAAUUCCCUCGAGAAAUUUGUGUAUAAUAUAGAAGGUAGAAUUUGGUCGGAAAUCAUAAAGUAUCUAAUAUGCAUUUCUGAAAACAAAACGUAGAUCAAAUAUUACAGAAUAACAAAAAAACCUUUACAUUGCUUAUGAGAUAGGGAGGUUGGAUGGCCGAAUGGUUAGCACGCGCGCGCUGUAUCAUACGGUCUGUCAUUGAGUCAACAGGCGGGGUUUCGAUUCCCCGGUUGUACGUGACAAGAUGUAGGGUCGCCUGUCCAACCUCGUGGGUUUUCUCCGGGCCCUCCGGUUUCCUCCCACAGCUAAAGACCCCUACGCGCAAGCGAAUUAUGGAAAUAAAAUUGAACCAUAUGUUAGUCCCGAAAUGACCUAGUUUGUGUCGAGUGGACGUUAAACCCUCCCCCCCCUCUCUCUCUCUCUCUCUCUCUCUCUCACUAAUGAGAUCAAUUAGGUGUUAAUAUCCUAGUUUUCUGGGUUAUUAAUUAAGCCCUACAACCUACUCUUAUAUCAAAUAUCAAAUGUUUCAACUGUAAAGGGUUCUUUUAACGGAACCGGGGGGGGGGGGGGGGCGAAUGGUUAACACGCACACCUUAUGACUUGUAAGUAAUUGUAUAUAAAUAUUUUGUACAUAUUAUUUAAUAUUUGCCAUUUUCUCUGAUAUUUAUAUAUUUUAAUCCAGCAAUCUUGAUGCUUUGCUCCUUUUAUGUACAAAAUAUUCAUUUUGUUAGUCUUUUUUAAUGAGGAAAGGGUUCGACAUCAUUUUAUUACUCCUGCAAAAUAGUUCAUUUUUCUUUUGUUAGUUUUUUGUGUAUGCUAGUUAUUUCCAGUUGCCUCACAAAUCACUUGUAACAUGACUUUGUAGUACAUUUCAAUUUUUGAAAGUAAUUCACUUUAGUGCAUAAUUUAUCUUAUUAGUGCUUGGUUUGGAUGUUAUUAAAUUUAGAUAUAUUUGAAUUAUAUAUUUUUCGGGUGUGGGGUAAGGAUACUGUGUAUAUGUCUUUAUAUUCUCAGUACUUGUUUCAGGGUAAAGAAAAAUUUAAAUACCUAUUUUAUAUUUUGUGAUAUGGGGGGAGGGGGGUAUUUUGUCAUUAUAUAACACAAUUUUAUUAAUAUUAUUUCUGCUUUUCUGUCAACAUUCCAAAUGUCUAUUUAGUUUUGA
Long non-coding RNA from Patella vulgata (common limpet), 3633 nucleotides. RefSeq lists it as uncharacterized. NCBI's taxonomy places the organism in Eukaryota, Metazoa, Mollusca, Gastropoda, Patellidae. The transcript is spliced from 3 exons. The record is from RefSeq and is a predicted model, not a curated record.